Molecule: small RNA, 149 nt
Filed under: Papio anubis (olive baboon)
Lineage: Eukaryota; Metazoa; Chordata; Mammalia; Primates; Cercopithecidae
Description: Metazoan signal recognition particle RNA (ENSPANG00000037260.1)
Source: Rfam by way of RNAcentral
GCUGGGUGUGGUGGUGCGUGCCUGUAAUCCCAGCUACUCAGGAGGCUGUGGCAGGAGAAUUACUUGAACCCAGGGAGGUGGAGGUUGCGGUGAGCCAAGAUCGCACCACUGCACUCCAGCCUGGGUGACAGAGUAAGACCCUGUCUCAA